AAGUGCGUCAUCAGCCGGCGCCAGCGGCCGAUAGCCGCGGAGCAGGGGCUCGGAGGCCCCGGGAUUCCGGUGCUCGAGCACGCUGGUGGGAAAGGACCUGGGACUUGAACAGUGUUGUGCGCCGCCAUGCAGGUCUCCAGCCUCAAUGAGGUGAAGAUUUACAGCCUCAGCUGCGGCAAGUCCCUUCCUGAGUGGCUUUCUGAUAGGAAGAAGAGAGCGCUACAGAAGAAAGAUGUAGAUGUCCGUAGGAGAAUUGAACUAAUUCAGGAUUUUGAAAUGCCUACUGUAUGUACCACUAUUAAGGUGUCAAAAGAUGGACAGUACAUUUUAGCAACUGGAACAUAUAAACCUCGGGUUCGAUGUUAUGACACCUAUCAAUUAUCCUUGAAGUUUGAAAGGUGUUUAGAUUCAGAAGUUGUCACCUUUGAAAUUUUGUCUGAUGACUACUCAAAGAUUGUCUUCUUACAUAACGAUAGAUACAUUGAAUUUCAUUCGCAAUCAGGUUUUUACUACAAAACCAGAAUACCAAAGUUUGGGAGAGAUUUCUCUUACCACUAUCCAUCCUGUGACUUGUACUUUGUUGGGGCAAGUUCUGAAGUUUAUAGGUUAAACUUAGAACAAGGACGAUACCUGAAUCCUCUACAAACUGAUGCCGCGGAGAAUAAUGUUUGUGACAUAAAUUCAGUGCAUGGCUUGUUUGCCACAGGCACCAUAGAGGGUAGAGUGGAGUGCUGGGACCCAAGAACUCGAAACAGAGUUGGCCUGUUAGACUGCGCCUUAAACAGUGUCACAGCAGAUUCAGAGAUAAACAGUUUACCAACAAUCUCUGCUUUGAAAUUUAAUGGUGCCUUGACCAUGGCAGUUGGAACAACCACGGGGCAGGUUUUAUUAUAUGACCUUCGAUCUGAUAAGCCAUUGCUUGUGAAAGAUCACCAGUAUGGGCUGCCCAUUAAGUCUGUUCAUUUCCAGGAUUCAUUAGAUCUGAUUUUGUCUGCUGACUCUCGAAUUGUCAAGAUGUGGAAUAAGAACUCCGGAAAAAUAUUUACUUCCUUGGAGCCAGAGCAUGACCUUAAUGAUGUUUGUCUCUACCCCAACUCAGGCAUGCUUCUGACGGCCAAUGAAACCCCCAAGAUGGGCAUCUAUUACAUUCCAGUUUUGGGUCCUGCUCCUCGGUGGUGUUCCUUCCUAGACAACUUGACCGAAGAAUUAGAAGAGAAUCCAGAAAGCACAGUCUAUGAUGAUUAUAAAUUUGUCACCAAGAAAGACCUUGAAAAUUUAGGGCUCACCCACCUCAUUGGAUCUCCUUUCCUCCGGGCAUAUAUGCAUGGGUUUUUCAUGGAUAUAAGACUCUAUCACAAGGUGAAACUGAUGGUAAAUCCAUUUGCUUAUGAAGAAUAUAGGAAAGAUAAAAUACGACAGAAAAUAGAAGAAACACGUGCACAGAGAGUCCAGUUAAAGAAAUUGCCAAAAGUUAACAAAGAGCUGGCACUUAAAUUAAUUGAGGAAGAAGAGGAGAAGCAGAAAUCUACAUGGAAAAAGAAAGUUAAGAGUCUUCCUAAUAUUCUCACCGAUGAUCGAUUUAAAGUUAUGUUUGAGAACCCUGACUUCCAAGUAGACGAAGAGAGUGAAGAAUUUAGGCUUCUGAAUCCACUUGUUUCAAAAAUUAGUGAAAAAAGGAAGAAGAAACUAAGACUCUUAGAGCAACAAGAACUUCGUGAAAAGGAAGAGGAGGAAGAGCCAGAAGGAAAACCAAGUGAUGCAGAAAGUUCGGAGAGUUCAGAUGAUGAAAAAGCCUGGGUUGAAGAGGUCAGGAAGCAACGCAGACUCCUCCAGCAGGAGGAAAAAGUGAAGCGGCAGGAACAACUCAAGGAGGACCAGCAGACAGUCCUAAAGCCCCAGUUUUAUGAGAUCAAAGCAGGAGAAGAAUUUAGAAGCUUCAAAGAUUCUGCCACAAAGCAGAAACUGAUGAACAAAACCCUUGAAGAUCGUUUGAAAAUUGAAGCAAAAAAUGGGACAUUGAGUGUAUCCAACACCACCAUUGGCAGCAAACAAUUGACAUUCACGUUAAAGAGGUCUGAACAGCAGAAGAAGCAACAGGAGGCUGAGAAACUGCAUCGACAAGAAAGGAAAAGACUCCGUCGUUCGGCCGGGCACCUGAAGUCAAGACACAAAAGAGGACGGUCAUUUCAUUGAUUUGGGAAGUGGUCCUACCUGUGAUUAGGGAGGGGUACGUCUCCCCCAAACUGAUCAUCGUUAGGGUGUUAAACACAGACAAGGGAACACACGUGUUUAAAGUUCAUGUACAUUCUUGUACACAGAGGGAAAGAUUUGAAAACCUGUGCCUUGUGGAUUGGACUUUGAAGCUGGGCCCUGCCGAUGGCCACCGCAUAGCCCCAAGGGUGUGCUUGCAAGUCGUUGCUCCCUGGAAACAUUGUCCUUUCCCCAUGGUUUUAAUCAUGAAAACCAGGACAAAAUCACGAAUCUCAGCCUCUCAGGAUUUGAGGGAUCUUCUAGUUGAGCUGGCUGAGACGCCUACCUGAUUGGAUUUCCCGAGUUGCCUUCUCUCCCAUUUCAGAUGAUCUCAUUUGUCACCUCUCUUCAGUGUCCCAGCGCUGCCUCCCAGAUAGCCUCUGGGCCUUUCAUCUGGGUGGCCGCUGGCACUUUGUGAGUUCCACAUGCUCAAAGCAAAACUCAUCCACCCCAUCCCACCCACCCGAACACUUGCUGCUACUCCUCAUUCGCCCGUCUAUGAAGCUGAGCCAGAAGUCACAGUUGCCGCAACCACUACUUAUCGAGCACUCUGUGCAGGUGACUCAGCAAAGAGCCGUUUCCCUGAGUUUAUGCUUCACGGGGGAGACAGACAAGAUCCAGUAGACACGAUGCAGGCCACACGAGCCAUUGGGCAGGAAGGAGAGCUGGGAGGGCAGGGCUGAGAAUGCAAGAAAUCGGCUGGCUCAGAAGAGGCCUCUCUGAGAAGCCUCCUGGCCCAGCAGCCUUCUCUGCACGCGAAUGGCAGCAGCAUCUGGGCUCCCCAGGCCAAGCUGUGGGAAACUCUAAGCCUUUCAUGAUGAUGGGCUUUCAAAAUCCAGGAUGGACUGAUUAGUGAAGACAACAGAAGGAAACAAGACCUGGGUCUGGUCCGGACUUGCUCAUGGCGAAGAUUUCAGUUAGUGGCCAAGUCACUUAACCUGUCCAUGCCUUGGUGUCUACAUCUGUAAAAUGGGUUUAAUAGUAUCUGUCCCCUAAGACUUCAGAAGAUGUUAGUGGAGCCUAGUGAGUGAAGUCCAUUAAAUUCAGAAGAAAGGCGUAACUAAAUACAAAGCACUACUAGAAUUAGCUCUCAGGUUCUUUAAGCCAGGUUGCAUCUUGUUUUAAGAGGGUUACCAUGGCGAUGAGUUUGUUUGAAAACCAUAUGUUUAAAAGGCUUGGCUAUUAUCUUGCAACAA
Nomascus leucogenys (northern white-cheeked gibbon) is the source of this 3446-nucleotide RNA transcript. It is a transcript of the gene named nucleolar protein 10, with no coding region annotated. NCBI's taxonomy places the organism in Eukaryota, Metazoa, Chordata, Mammalia, Primates, Hylobatidae. The transcript has 24 exons. The record is from RefSeq and is a predicted model, not a curated record.